RNAcentral lists this ribosomal RNA (112 nucleotides) under Candidatus Yanofskybacteria bacterium RIFCSPHIGHO2_01_FULL_39_44. RNAcentral also lists the same sequence under 2 other names. The record is from RNAcentral. Lineage: Bacteria; Candidatus Yanofskyibacteriota.
UAAGGUAGCUAUACUGAGAAUGCUCCACCUGUUCCCAUCCCGAACACAGAAGUGAAAUUUCUCAAGGCCCAUGAUAGUCGACUUCGUCGGCGAAAGUAGGUAGCUGCCCUAC